Molecule: small RNA, 127 nt
Filed under: Marmota monax (woodchuck)
Lineage: Eukaryota; Metazoa; Chordata; Mammalia; Rodentia; Sciuridae
Source: RNAcentral
GCUGGGUGCAGUGGCUCACACCUGUAAUCCCAGCGGCUUGGGAGGUGGAGGCAGGAGGAUCGCGAGUUCAAAGCCAGCCUCAGCAAUUUAGCGAGGCGCUGAGCAACUCAGUGAGACCCUGUCUCUA